GCAUAUAUGGCCGAGUGGUCGAAGGCAGGGGCCUCAUAAGCCUCCACCCAUUAGGGCAUCGCUGGUUCGAAUCCAGCUAUAUGCA
This 85-nucleotide transfer RNA is filed under the name prasinophyte sp. MBIC10622. RNAcentral's name for it is "tRNA-Ile". It matches the Rfam family "tRNA". Rfam says of the family: Transfer RNA (tRNA) molecules are approximately 80 nucleotides in length. The record is from RNAcentral. Lineage: Eukaryota; Viridiplantae; Chlorophyta.